This 69-nucleotide transfer RNA is filed under the name Sisyra aurorae. RNAcentral's name for it is "tRNA-Gln". It matches the Rfam family "tRNA". From Rfam's summary of the family: Transfer RNA (tRNA) molecules are approximately 80 nucleotides in length. Lineage: Eukaryota; Metazoa; Arthropoda; Insecta; Neuroptera; Sisyridae. The record is from RNAcentral.
UAUAUUUUAGUAUAUGAGGUACAAUAGAUUUUGAUUCUAUUAGAAAAGGUUUAAUUCCUUUAAAUAUAU